RNAcentral lists this ribosomal RNA (450 nucleotides) under uncultured bacterium. Its description in RNAcentral is "partial 16S ribosomal RNA". It matches the Rfam family "Bacterial small subunit ribosomal RNA", at positions 354 to 796 of the family's 1533-position model. The record is from RNAcentral.
GUGGGGAAUAUUGGACAAUGGGCGAAAGCCUGAUCCAGCCAUGCCGCGUGUGUGAAGAAGGUCUUCGGAUUGUAAAGCACUUUAAGUUGGGAGGAAGGGCAGUAAGUUAAUACCUUGCUGUUUUGACGUUACCGACAGAAUAAGCACCGGCUAACUUCGUGCCAGCAGCCGCGGUAAUACGAAGGGUGCAAGCGUUAAUCGGAAUUACUGGGCGUAAAGCGCGCGUAGGUGGUUUUGUAAGUUGGAGGUGAAAUCCCCGGGCUCAACCUUGGAACUGCCUCCAAAACUGCAUGACUAGAGUACGGUAGAGGGGAGUGGAAUUUCCUGUGUAGCGGUGAAAUGCGUAGAUAUAGGAAGGAACACCAGUGGCGAAGGCGACUACCUGGACUGAUACUGACACUGAGGUGCGAAAGCGUGGGGAGCAAACAGGAUUAGAUACCCCGGUAGUCC